RNAcentral lists this unclassified non-coding RNA (302 nucleotides) under Hevea brasiliensis (rubber tree). Lineage: Eukaryota; Viridiplantae; Streptophyta; Magnoliopsida; Malpighiales; Euphorbiaceae. The record is from RNAcentral.
GAAAGAAAGAAAGAAAGGGAGGGAAAAGAAGGGAAAGUAAGAGCCAAAAAGACUACAUCUUUAUUAUCUUUGGGGUGGCCCAUCUACCUUAGGUCUAGUUCCUCUUGGCUUUGCACUCAAGGUCUAGCUCAAUGGGCUAGCCUAUGAAUUUACUUUGGUCUAGCUUGCUGGUCUUCAACUCACGAGUAUGGCUCUUUGGGGCUCAGCCCACCAUGCUUUUGGGUCCCGGAUCUACGGCAGUGGGCCUCACUAAUCAGAUACCAUGUUAAAAAUUUAAAAAUUAGAAGAAUAAGAAAGAAAGA